UACGAAGGUCCCAAGCGUUAUCCGGAUUUAUUGGGUUUAAAGGGUGCGUAGGCGGGUUAUUAAGUCAGUGGAGAAAGCCUUCAGCUCAACUGAAGAAUUGCCAUUGAUACUGAUGAUCUUGAGUAUGAUUGAGGUGGGCGGAAUGUGUCAUGUAGCGGUGAAAUGCUUAGAUAUGACACAGAACACCGAUUGCGAAGGCAGCUCACUAAGUCAUAACUGACGCUGAUGCACGAAAGCGUGGGGAGCAAACAGG
Molecule: ribosomal RNA, 253 nt
Filed under: uncultured bacterium
Lineage: Bacteria
Description: partial 16S ribosomal RNA
Rfam family: Bacterial small subunit ribosomal RNA
Source: RNAcentral